Molecule: long non-coding RNA, 659 nt
Organism: Alosa sapidissima (American shad)
Lineage: Eukaryota; Metazoa; Chordata; Actinopteri; Clupeiformes; Clupeidae
Exons: 3
Source: RefSeq, a predicted model, not a curated record
GCUAUCAAUAUGCGGGAGACUCCCGGAACUUCCGGGAGACUUGGGAUGUCUGUCAAUGGCUCUGACAGGAAAGAAACAUGGAACUCUUGGAGGCUUUGGAUGUGCCUGGGAUGACCACGGCUUCAUCUUCCACUUCCUGGACUCUUAGGCAGCAAAAGGCUGCACAAAGAUGGAAAGAGCCAAGGCCUUUCCAUCUGCAGUGUCUCCUGCAGACCCAUAAUGUGGGCCAUCCUUUGUGCAGCGUUUUGUAAAGGACGUUAUGAUUUGCACGAGCCCCUGUUUGCUUGCAAAAAUUGCAACCAGCAGUGGUCUCCUGAAUUUAAAGACAUCCUUGCCAGUGGAUAUUGGCCUGCCUCCAUCAGCUCCGACACAUUGUACACUUUCAAUAUUUUUAGUACGUUCCAGGAGCUUAAAGUUAUAGCCCCAACCCUGUUUAGACAGGCUUUUGUCAAGCUCCUUGAACAUCGAACAAGAUGUGGUGGAAGGUCAGGACCUGUGUGUGGGGACACUCUUCAGCGAAGCUUUCUGGAGUACAGCUAUUGCCGCUUCGAAGAGGAUCAGCUGUCCUGUGGAACACCUUUAAGCUGCCCUGCCUGUUCACCCAAGAUGCUUGCUGUGUCAGUGGAUGGUAAUAGGAAACUCUACAGGUUUCUUCGAAA